Triticum urartu is the source of this 126-nucleotide non-coding RNA. The record is from Rfam. Lineage: Eukaryota; Viridiplantae; Streptophyta; Magnoliopsida; Poales; Poaceae.
GUGGUACUCCCUCCGUUCGAAAAAACUUGUCCCAAGCUUAUCCCUUAAAUGGAUGUAUCUAGCACUAAUUUGAUGUUAAAUACAUUUAUUUGGGGGACAGGCUUUUUCGGACGGAGGGGGUAUGGA